GUCCAUGCCGUAAACGAUGUCUACUAGCCGUUGGGGCCUUUGAGGCUUUAGUGGCGCAGCUAACGCGAUAAGUAGACCGCCUGGGGAGUACGGUCGCAAGACUAAAACUCAAAUGAAUUGACGGGGGCCCGCACAAGCGGUGGAGCAUGUGGUUUAAUUCGAUGCAACGCGAAGAACCUUACCUGGUCUUGACAUAGUAAGAACUUUCCAGAGAUGGAUUGGUGCCUUCGGGAGCUUACAUACAGGUGCUGCAUGGCUGUCGU
RNAcentral lists this ribosomal RNA (263 nucleotides) under uncultured bacterium. Its description in RNAcentral is "partial 16S ribosomal RNA". It matches the Rfam family "Bacterial small subunit ribosomal RNA", at positions 793 to 1055 of the family's 1533-position model. The record is from RNAcentral.